CAUGGUUCAGACAUAACAGGUGGCUUCGGCUACCACUUACAGAUGGACCCGCGGCGCAUUAGCUAGUUGGUGAGGUAACGGCUCACCAAGGCCACGAUGCGUAGCCAACCUGAGAGGGUGAUCGGCCACACUGAGACUGAGACACGGCCCAGACUCCUACGGGAGGCAGAAGUAGGGAAUCUUCCGCAAUGGACGAAAGUCUGACGGAGCAACGCCGCGUGAGUGAUGAAGGUUUUCGGAUCGUAAAGCUCUGUUGUUAGGGAAGAACAAGUGCCGUUCAAAUAGGGCGGCACCUUGACGGAACCUAACCAGAAUGCCUCGGCUAACUACGUGCCAGCAGCCGCGAUAAUACGUACGUGGCAAGCGUUGUCCGGAAUUAUUGCGCGUACAGGGCUCGCAUGCGGUUUCUUAUGUCUGAUGCGAAAUCCCCCGGCUCAAUCGGUGAGAGUC
This 450-nucleotide ribosomal RNA is filed under the name Bacillus amyloliquefaciens. Its description in RNAcentral is "bacterial SSU rRNA". It matches the Rfam family "Bacterial small subunit ribosomal RNA", at positions 188 to 624 of the family's 1533-position model. The record is from RNAcentral. Lineage: Bacteria; Bacillati; Bacillota; Bacilli; Caryophanales; Bacillaceae.